Molecule: ribosomal RNA, 147 nt
Filed under: Russula sp.
Lineage: Eukaryota; Fungi; Basidiomycota; Agaricomycetes; Russulales; Russulaceae
Description: partial large subunit ribosomal RNA
Source: RNAcentral
CAAGGGAAAGGUGGCACCUUUUUAGGUGUGUUAUAGUCCCCUGUCGGAUGCAAGGGUCAGGAUUGAGGAACUCAGCAUGCACCUUUGGGUGUCGGGGUCUUUGCCCACGUUAUGUGCUUAGGAUGCUGGCGUAAUGGCUUUAAACGA